Molecule: long non-coding RNA, 6882 nt
Filed under: Fragaria vesca (wild strawberry)
Lineage: Eukaryota; Viridiplantae; Streptophyta; Magnoliopsida; Rosales; Rosaceae
Description: long non-coding RNA (FVES_LNC001651)
Source: RNAcentral
CCCAAGCCAACAACCUUGAGACGACGAUCAUGAUAAGGGCCUUAACACUUCUCCGAUUAGUUUAGAAAAUCAGUAAAUUUUUCUAGUUUAAAUAAUUGUACAAACAAUACUACCUAGUAUUUCUUUUGGUCGGUACGAUAACUUUAUUAUUAUUAGUAAUAUAAAUAUUUCGGUUAAUUUAUUUUGGUUUUACAGUAAUUAAUUAUUUACUUACAGUAAUAUAUUUUUGAGUUAUUAUAUCUCUUAAUAAUAAAAAUAAUAUUUUUUUUUUCAAAAAAACUAAAACCUAAGCGACGAAAAUUUUGUCUCUUAAGAUGCUUAUUUUUGUUGCUUAAGGGUAAAAAUUAUAUGCCAAAAGUUGACAAGCCAAAAAAGUGUUCUGUCGCACAAGGCUAUAUCGACAGAAACUUUCGUCGCAUAAAAUCUAGCGACGAAAACAAGCUCGUCGCUUAACAGUAAAACGAUAGGAGAACAUACGUCGCUGAACAACUUAAGCGACUAACAAUUUUUGUCGCUUAAGUUAAUUAUUCGUCGCAUUAAAUCUAGCGACAAAAACAGGCUUGUCGCUAAACUAAAAAGUUUUGUCGCUUAACAGACUUCCAGACUUCCACAAAUAAUUUAUGACUUUAUGGAUCGUCGCUUAAGCGAACUCCGGCUCACUUGAGAUCACCACUGGAUUUAUCAUUGAUCCUUGUCUUGUCUACGACACAACAAUCAAAUUAUCAUUUACCUCGAAAACUCGACAAACUAACCAAAAUUCCUAACCUUCAAAUUAUAGUGUCUGCACUUCACGGUUUCAAUACCAGAGGAAAUUACCCAAAAUGGCAGCAUGAACAAUUUAUAUAUCACAAGACACGUCACCACAAAACUCCGAUCCGAUUUAACGAAUUAGAAAUGACACGACCCACCCCGAAUUUCACCCUGAAACCCGGAGUAAGUCGUGCGGGGACCACCUCCAAGGAAAAUUUACUGAAAAGAUUAAGAAAAUCUCCCUUGCAGAUGGACAACCCUAACUCGAAAAUUCCAAGUUACUCUCUUAAUUCAACACGUCCAAACAUCACAUAAUUAUCCUCCAGAAAUUCUACACAUAAUAUACAAUAAUCCCAAAGUAUUCAGAGCUACUAAACACAAGCGGAAGCAAGAAAACACGAGUAGGUUAAACAUGUAACCUACUGAUGAAAACUGGCGGAAAUGCGGGUGACUAUGCCUCGUCUCCUACUAGAUCCAACCCGAACUCUGCAGACUGGGCAAUUUAAAACGAAAGGCCCAGGGGAAAACAUUUAACAACGUUAGAGUAAGUGGACAAAAAUUAAAAUAAUAAAUAAAAUAUUUAUGUUUCCCCAAAUUAAUUUCUAAGGAAAAAUUGAAUGGAUGCCGCAAGCGAUAAAACUUUUAUCCCAUACAUGCCGCAACGGCGGCCGGAGGCCAAUUCCGGCGACCUCCAAAACCUAUGAAAUUUUGACAGAAUAAUCCUCUCAUCAAGCUCUACAACUUUCAUAACUAGUACAAACACCAAUUCCAAGCCUAACUAGGGCAAUCGACUAAAAACAUCAAAAACGCCAUAAAACUUCCACCUCAAAUUUCUCCUUACCUAGCUCAAGAGGGAGUGAGUCCUUUUAGGGCAAGGCUGCUGGGUUGGAGGGCUACAAAACCAUACCAAGCUUGCCUGGAUUGGUGGCCGGAAGAGGGAGUUCCGGCGACGUGAACCCUAACACAGUCGGACCUCUCGGGCUCGAUAUCACCCUCACGGCGGCGCUAGGGAAGCUGUCAUCGGUCCAAGAAGGUUGCUGGGUUGAAGACCGAUCGAUUUGGACCGGUACGGCGGUCUGGGGUGGCCGGACGGCGGCGGUCUGGCGGUCGGAAAACCGGACAGCGGGAGGGGCUCGGGAGAGAGAGAACCGNNNNNNNNNNNNNNNNNNNNCUCUUAAUUCAACACGUCCAAACAUCACAUAAUUAUCCUCCAGAAAUUCUACACAUAAUAUACAAUAAUCCCAAAGUAUUCAGAGCUACUAAACACAAGCGGAAGCAAGAAAACACGAGUAGGUUAAACAUGUAACCUACUGAUGAAAACUGGCGGAAAUGCGGGUGACUAUGCCUCGUCUCCUACUAGAUCCAACCCGAACUCUGCAGACUGGGCAAUUUAAAACGAAAGGCCCAGGGGAAAACAUUUAACAACGUUAGAGUGAGUGGACAAAAAUUAAAAUAAUAAAUAAAAUAUUUAUGUUUCCCCAAAUUAAUUUCUAAGGAAAAAUCGAAUGCAUGCCGCAAGCGAUAAAACUUUUAUCCCAUAAAAUAUCGAACCUCUCAGACUCUAUAAUAUAUGUAUGUAUUUACACUCGUCCAUACUCCCUAUAUAAAAUUCAUGGGUCUAUAUAGGGCUACUACGCUUGCGUCCAAUGCUCACGUCACGUCUUAAUGCGGUACUACACUACGCCAUCAAGGUGGACAGACGGGUGUAUAAAUAUGUGUCCAUAGCCCAUAUAUGAAUUAAACACUCAAAUAGGGCUACUACGCUUACGCCCAACGCUCACGUCACACCAUAAUGCGGCUAUAUGCUACGGCAUUAAGGUGGACAGACACAUAUGGCUAGCUAGCAUUUAUAUACAUACUCUCUCAUAAAUAUAUAUUUAUAUCCACCGAAAAUCCUAUUUUCGGUAACUCUCCAAGAGAAAUAAAAUCGUCAAAAUAAAAUGACGUCAAAAUGCUCCACAACAUUAAUUGUUCAUCUAUGAACUAUAGCAUGCAUUUUAUUUAAAACAAAAGUCCACUCACAAAUUUGGCCUAAGCCUGAUGUCGAUCUGGGGCCUCGUCUGCUCGAGCCUCCUCACGUCCUGUUCCAAAUAUAAUAUUAAUUUCCCAACCAAAAAUCCAGAACGUACUCAAAAAUAGGCAAAAUAAUUAUAAGCCGUAACCACGCUCAUUCUCGCCUAACUUCGAUAUUCUUAAAUCGGAACGAUCCGAACUUAAAUAUCAUACUCAACAGUCGUAAAUACAACCUCUCCAAAAUACGACUUAAAUCCUACGGCCGGAUUCUACAUUAAUUAACCGCCAAAAAUACCAAACUUCGGAAAUUCACAAACCUAUCCAAAUCUCAUCCAAAAAUUCCAUAAAUCACAUCAAUAUACUCCUCUUAAUAUUCCACACUUAAAACCCUAAAAAUCUCCUAACCGGCGGCGGCGCCGCCGGAAGGCUCCGCCGGCAGCGGCGGCCGGUGGCCAAUUCCGGCGACCUCCAAAACCUAUGAAAUUUUGACAGAAUAAUCCUCUCAUCAAGCUCUACAACUUUCAUAACUAGGACAAACACCAAUUCCAAGCCUAACUAGGGAAAUCGACUAAAAACAUCAAAAACGCCAUAAAACUUCCACCUCAAAUUUCUCCUUACCUAGCUCAAGAGGGAGUGAGUCCUUUUAGGGCAAGACUGUUGGGUUGGAGGGCUACAAAACCAUACCAAGCUUACCUGGAUUGGUGGCCGGAGGAGGGAGUUCCGGCGACGUAAACCCUAACACAGUCGGACCUCUCGGGCCCGAUAUCACCCUCACGGCGGCGCUAGGGAAGCUGUCAUCGGUCCAAGAAGGUUGCUGGGUUGAAGACCGAUCGAUUGGGACCGGUGCGGCGGUCUGGGGUGGCCGGACGGCGGCGGUCUGGCGGUCGGAAAACCGGACAGCGGGAGGGGCUCGGGAGAGAGAGAACCGGGAGGAGAAAAGAGAGGAAAAAGAGAAAAGAAAAGAUGGGCCUCUACACCCGGUCCAACAACCUUAUAUACCAAAACCCACUCUAAAAUUUACACCCCAAAAUAAUACCCUAAUAAAAAUUACCUUUUACUAGCUAAAAUUUACCAUUUUUACCGUCGACAUAAUUUCCUCCCACGAAUAAUCCUCCGCACAAUAAUCAUCCCCGAAACCCCUCUAGGGACCAAUUAAACUAUUAACUCAAUGAUCAAGACGGUAAAAUUCUUAUUAUAAUCACGCUAGUAAAUAAGGUAAAAAUAUAAGGGUCGGGAUGUGACAAUUCUCUCCUCCUUAUAAAAAUUUCGUCCUCGAAAUUAACAUACCUGUCAUCCGAAGAGUUAGGGAUACUGCUGCAUCAUUUGCUCCUCUGAUUCCCAAGUAGCUUCUUCUACUUGAUGACUCAUCCAAAGUACCUUGACAAGCAGGAUUGUCUUGUUCCUAAGCACUUGCUCCUUUCGGUCGAGAAUCUGAACCGGUUCCUCUUCAUAGGUCAAAUCUCUCGUCAAACUGAUCGGCUGCUCUUGCAGCACAUGAGAAGGAUCGGCAAUAUACUUGCGAAGCAUGGAUACAUGAAACACAUUAUGUAUCCUAGCUAACUCUGGAGGCAAGGCUAAUCGACAAGCAAGUGAGCCAACUCGCUCUAUUAUCUCAUAAGGGCCAAUAUACCUCGGGCUAAGCUUCCCACGCUUCCCGAAGCGCACAACCCCUUUCCAAGGAGAUAAUUUCAGGAACACCCAAUCCCCCACUUGAAAUUCAAGAUCUCUCCUACGGACAUCCGCAUAACUCUUCUGCCUACUGAUGAUACCCCGAUCUCAAAUCAAUCUUGGAGAAAACAGAGGCACCCCUCAACUGAUCAAAUAAAUCAUCGAUCCGAGGCAACGGAUAUUUAUUCUUCACUGUGACCUGAUUCAACUUCCUAUAAUCAAUGCAUAGUCUCAUGGUGCCAUCUUUCUUCUUAACAAACAACACUGGAGCACCCCAUGGAGACAUGCUAGGCCGAAUAAAACCCUUAUCUACCAAUUCCUGCAAUUGAAUCUUCAACUCUUUCAAUUCCGCUGGAGCCAUUCUGUAAGGCGCCUGAGAGAUAGGCAUAGUUCCAGGAAGUAAUUCUAUAGAGAAGUCUAUCUCCCUUUCAGGAGGCAAACCAGGCAACUCCUCAGGAAAAACAUCCGGAAACUCUCUUACUACAGGAAUAUCUUCUAAUCCCACAACUCCCAUACUUGUAUCCACCACAUGAGCUAAAAAUGCUUGACAGCCUUUACUCAACAAUUUCCUUGCAGCAACAGCGGAAAUUAUGCNNNNNNNNNNNNNNNNNNNNUAGAGACACAUGCCACUCGCCUGGAAGAGACGAUGAUGGCACAUUUGCAUGGAGGGCGAAUCGACUAGACAUGAAUGAAUGCGUGGCUCCGGGAUCAAUUAAAGUAAAAGCAGGCUGACCAAAAAUUAAUAACGUACCAAUGAUGACAUCUGGAGAAGUACGACCCUCCUGCUGGGUCAUAGCAUGCAGUCUAGUGCGAGUCAUGGGACGUCCACGCUGACCACUUCCCCGCUGAGAGCCACCUCUGACCGAAGCACUGCCCUGGGCACCACUACUAGAGCCUCCAGCUGAGGACUGACCAACAGGCUAAGUAGGGGUGGGAGUGGUCCUCUGAGCCAACAAUGGGCAAUCUCUCCUGAAGUGGUCCUGACCACCACACUCAAAGCACCCAGAAAACUGCUACUGCUGCCCAUAUGAAAAAGUCUGGCUACCGGAUGACCCACCAUGGAAACUGCCACCCGAACCAUACUGCCCAGACUGCUGCCUACCCAACUGGCUCCUAGCAGGUCUCCUGUGACGUCCUCUAACCCUGAACCGAGAAUUAGAACCUGAUCCCCCACUACUGCCACUACCAGCUGAUGAACCUGAAGCGGAUGAUGAAGCAGCUUUCUUGGAUGGACCCUGACUGGGACCACCGAAAUCUCGUGGCCGAGCACUAUAAAUCCCCAUAGACUCAAUGACCAUGGCUGCAUGAACAGCGUCAGAGAAAGUCGGGUAGUAAACACCCGUUAUCUUAUCUGCAAACACUCCACCAAGUGCCCCAAUGAACAUCUCCAUCCUGAUCCUCUCAUCAGGAACCAAAUAUGACACAUGAUAGCACAGGGAAGUGAAUCUCUCCUCGAACUCUAUAACACCCUCAUCAUCCCUCUUCUUCAUAUUCAGGAAAUCCGACUGAAUUCUGCUGCGGUGGGCAGGACUGAAAUAUUGCCCCAAGAAAAGCGUCUUAAACUGCUCCCACGACAUAUUCAGCGCAUCCUCAACAUUCCUGCUAGCGAGCGACCACUAGUGAUGUGCUGAAUCAUCUAGGAAAGUUACUGCCAUCUUCACCUUCCUUUCUUCUGGCAAAUCUGUGCUCGCAAAAGCCUUUUCCAUUUUGUCCACCCAAGUAUAAGCAUCAAGGGGUCCCUUGGCACCCUUGAACUCUCUUGCUCCAGCCCCAUAAACUUCUCUCCUCUUCACUGUAUGAGGUUGUGGAGCUCGAUCCAUGACAUCCCUUAGCAUAUUCCCAAUAUCAUCAACCAGUCCCCUGACCUCAUUGCCCUCAUCGGCAUUGGUCGAAGUAGCCACACGGGUACCUGAGGAAGAAGAAAUUUAGUAGUCCAUAAACAAGACUAACACAACAAUCACAUAUACCCAAUAACACAUAGCAUCAAAAGCAUAAAAUGCCAAUGAAUCCGCCGCGGUCGGAUCAUCACUCUAUAGACACUACGUGCUACUUAGGCAAAUAUGAUAGUGACAGAGAAGCAGGAAAAAGAAACCUAUAGCUCUGAUACCAACUGACACGACCCACCCCGAAUUUCACCCUGAAACCCGGAGUAAGUCGUGCGGGGACCACCUCCAAGGAAAAUUUACUGAAAAGAUUAAGAAAAUCUCCCUUGCAGAUGGACAACCCUAACUCGAAAAUUCCAAGUUACUCUCUUAAUUCAACACGUCCAAACAUCACAUAAUUAUCCUCCAGAAAUUUUACACAUAAUAUACAAUAAUCCCAAAGUAUUCAGAGCUACUAAACACAAGCGGAAGCAAGAAAACACGAGUAGGUUAAACAUGUAACCUACUGAUGAAAACUGGCGGAAAUGCGGGUGACUAUGCCUCGUCUCCUACUAGAUCCAACCCNNNN